RNAcentral lists this ribosomal RNA (498 nucleotides) under uncultured bacterium. RNAcentral's name for it is "partial 16S ribosomal RNA". It matches the Rfam family "Bacterial small subunit ribosomal RNA", at positions 30 to 523 of the family's 1533-position model. The record is from RNAcentral.
AUUGAACGCUGGCGGCAUGCCUUACACAUGCAAGUCGAACGGUAACAGGUCUUCGGAUGCUGACGAGUGGCGAACGGGUGAGUAAUACAUCGGAACGUGCCUAGUAGUGGGGGAUAACUACUCGAAAGAGUGGCUAAUACCGCAUGAGAUCUACGGAUGAAAGCAGGGGAUCGCAAGACCUUGUGCUACUAGAGCGGCCGAUGGCAGAUUAGGUAGUUGGUGGGAUAAAAGCUUACCAAGCCGACGAUCUGUAGCUGGUCUGAGAGAACGAUCAGCCACACUGGGACUGAGACACGGCCCAGACUCCAACGGGAGGCAGCAGUGGUGAAUUUUGAACAAUGGGCGAAAGCCUGGUCCAGCAAUGCCGCGUGCAGGAUGAAGGCCUUCGGGUUGUAAACUGCUUUUGUACGGAACGAAAAGCCCCGGGUUAAUACCCUGGGGUCAUGACGGUACCGUAAGAAUAAGCACCGGCUAACUACGUGCCAGCAGCCGCCGUAA